This 56-nucleotide ribosomal RNA is filed under the name Heyndrickxia coagulans. The record is from RNAcentral. Lineage: Bacteria; Bacillati; Bacillota; Bacilli; Caryophanales; Bacillaceae.
GCGGAAAGGUCACACCCGAACACAUCCCGAACUCGGAAGUUAAGCUUUCCAGCGCC